Long non-coding RNA from Callithrix jacchus (white-tufted-ear marmoset), 1077 nucleotides. NCBI's taxonomy places the organism in Eukaryota, Metazoa, Chordata, Mammalia, Primates, Cebidae. The record is from Ensembl.
GGAAAUUCAAUGAGAAACAAUAUUCAGGUCAGGGCAAAGCCUAGAGAAAAACACUCAUUCAGAAGUGGGCUGCCAUCCUGCUUUUUCUGAAGUGAGCAGCUGCUGGGUAUUGAAACCAGCUCUCACAGUUGGGUCCCUGCCACCAUGGAAACACUCUGGCUUCUAUGCUGGGGUGGCCAAGGCACAAUGGGGUGGUUCCAUGGCCCAGAAGCACUCUGGCUAUAGAUUAGGAAUGCCAAGAACUACAGCAAAAUCUUGUCCAGAUGUGAUUCUACCAUGCCAUCAGCCCUGAAGACAUAACUCCAGAAUUACAGAUUUUGCCUAUUUAUCCAAAAUGUGUACCUUAUGCUGCCAGUUCCUGAACUUUUUGAAGAUUCCGUGGUUUGAAGCCAGCUUAGGACUCAGCUUUUUUGGCUUGUUCAUCUGCUUUCCAGCUUCCAAUGCUGUGUUGUUCUUAUCUUUCCUAUUUUUCCUAUACUGGAAUGUUUGUCUUUUGUAAAAAUUUGGUUUUACUUAAGUAAAAAUUUGGUUUUAGGUACUUCGGGAGAAAGUGAAAUUAGAUAUAGUCGUGCUCCCUUAUCUGUAGGGCAUACGUUCCAAAACCCCUGGUGGAUAACUGAAACCAGCAGAGAGUACUAAACCCUAUAUAAACUGUAUUUUUUCCUAUACAUACCUAUGAUAAAAUUUAAUUUAUAAGUUAGGCACAGUAGGAGAUUAAUAGAAAUAACUAAGAAUAAUUAUAUAGUAUUAUAAAAGUUAUGGGACUGCCUCUCUCAAAACAUCUUAUUGUACUGUAGUUACCCUUCUUGUGAUGCUAUGAGAUGAAAAAAAGCCUACGUGAUGAGAUGAAGAGAGGUGAGUGAUGUAGGCAUUGUGAUAUAGCAUUAGGCCACUAUUGACCUUCUGACAGUAGGAAGGAGAAUCAUCUGCUUCAGGUGAUUCUAGUUCAUUAAGUCAUGACGAUGUUGAUGGUUGGAUGUCAGGAGCAGAGGAUGUUGAGGACUAACAGGCAGGUAGCAUAUUCGGCAUGAAUAUGCUGGGCAAACAGAUAAUUCACGUUCCAUGCUAGACAGAAUG